RNAcentral lists this ribosomal RNA (145 nucleotides) under uncultured bacterium. RNAcentral's name for it is "partial 16S ribosomal RNA". It matches the Rfam family "Bacterial small subunit ribosomal RNA", at positions 389 to 526 of the family's 1533-position model. The record is from RNAcentral.
CAGCCAUGCCGCGUGUGUGAAGAAGGCCUUCGGGUUGUAAAGCACUUUCAGUGGUGAGGAAGGCCUGUUGGUUAAUAUCCAACAGGAUUGACGUUAGCCACAGAAGAAGCACCGGCUAACUCCGUGCCAGCAGCCGCGGUAAUAA